UACGUAGGGGCCGAGCGUUGUCCGGAGUUACUGGGCGUAAAGCGCGCGCAGGCGGCUCGUCAAGCCUGACGUGAAAGCCCCCGGCUCAACCGGGGAGGGUCGUCGGGGACUGGCGGGCUUGAGGUCGGCAGGGGUUGGUGGAAUUCCCGGUGUAGUGGUGAAAUGCGUAGAGAUCGGGAGGAACACCCGUGGCGAAAGCGACUUCCUGGACCAAUACUGACGCUCAUGUGCGAAAGCGUGGGGGGCAAACAGG
Molecule: ribosomal RNA, 253 nt
Filed under: uncultured bacterium
Lineage: Bacteria
Description: partial 16S ribosomal RNA
Rfam family: Bacterial small subunit ribosomal RNA
Source: RNAcentral